AUCCAGGAGGGACACAGAAGCAGCAGAGGGACCUGAGAAGGAACCGCAGGAAUGGAAUUGAUUGGGUUCAGCCUGUGUGGAUGGUCAAUUCAGGAUCACAAGAAACUGCUUACCUGGACGGUGCAGAGGACCUUUCUGUCCUGGCUUUAAUGCCAACUCCUGAGAACACUUACUGGGGGCUACACUGCCCUGAUGGCUCCUGCUAGACGCAUGCCUGAGAGAUAAGACUGGUUAUAGCAACGAGAUAAGGAAACUAUGAGUGGAAUGAAGGCAGUAAGCUCGGAGGAGAUGAAUCCUCAGGUCUUCGUGGAGCAGAGCUAUCCAGAUGUGGCCUGCCUACUCUGGGACUUCAUUGUACAAGUAAAAUAAACCUUCAUCAUAU
This is a long non-coding RNA of Suricata suricatta (meerkat), 382 nucleotides long. RefSeq lists it as uncharacterized. The record is from RefSeq and is a predicted model, not a curated record. NCBI's taxonomy places the organism in Eukaryota, Metazoa, Chordata, Mammalia, Carnivora, Herpestidae. The transcript is spliced from 3 exons.